RNAcentral lists this ribosomal RNA (291 nucleotides) under uncultured bacterium. RNAcentral describes it as "partial 16S ribosomal RNA". It matches the Rfam family "Bacterial small subunit ribosomal RNA", at positions 335 to 619 of the family's 1533-position model. The record is from RNAcentral.
ACUCCUACGGGAGGCAGCAGUGGGGAAUAUUGCACAAUGGGGGAAACCCUGAUGCAGCCAUGCCGCGUGUGUGAAGAAGGCCUUCGGGUUGUAAAGCACUUUCAGCGAGGAGGAAAGGGUGUGUGCUAAUACCAUACAUCUGUGACGUUACUCGCAGAAGAAGCACCGGCUAACUCCGUGCCAGCAGCCGCGGUAAUACGGAGGGUGCGAGCGUUAAUCGGAAUUACUGGGCGUAAAGCGUGCGCAGGCGGUUUGUUAAGCGAGAUGUGAAAGCCCCGGCUCAAGCCUGGG